GAAAGCGAAGAAACUUACAACAAAGAGUCCCUCCCGACUGUUUACCAAAAACACAGCACUCUGCUAACUCGUAAGAGGAUGUAUAGGGUGUGACGCCUGCCCGGUGCUCGAAGGUUAAUUGAUGGGGUUAGCAUUAGCGAAGCUCUUGAUCGAAGCCCGAGUAAACGGCGGCCGUAACUAUAACGGUCCUAAGGUAGCGAAAUUCCUUGUCGGUUAAAUACCGACCUGCAUGAAUGGCGUAACGAGAUGGGAGCUGUCUCAAAGAGGGAUCCAGUGAAAUUGUAGUGGAGGUGAAAAUUCCUCCUACCCGCGGCAAGACGGAAAGACCCCGUGGACCUUUACUACAGCUUGACACUGCUAUUUGGAUAAGAAUGUGCAGGAUAGGUGGGAGGCUUUGAGUAUAUGACGCCAGUUGUAUAUGAGCCAUUGUUGAGAUACCACUCUUUCUUAUUUGGGUAGCUAACCAGCUUGAGUUAUCCUCAAGUGGGACAAUGUCUGGUGGGUAGUUUGACUGGGGCGGUCGCCUCCCAAAUAAUAACGGAGGCUUACAAAGGUUGGCUCAGAACGGUUGGAAAUCGUUCGUAGAGUAUAAAGGUAUAAGCCAGCUUAACUGCAAGACAUACAAGUCAAGCAGAGACGAAAGUCGGUCUUAGUGAUCCGGUGGUUCUGUGUGGAAGGGCCAUCGCUCAAAGGAUAAAAGGUACCCCGGGGAUAACAGGCUGAUCUCCCCCAAGAGCUCACAUCGACGGGGAGGUUUGGCACCUCGAUGUCGGCUCAUCGCAUCCUGGGGCUGGAGCAGGUCCCAAGGGUAUGGCUGUUCGCCAUUUAAAGCGGUACGCGAGCUGGGUUCAGAACGUCGUGAGACAGUUCGGUCCCUAUCUGCCGUGGGCGUAAGAAGAUUGAAGAGAUUUGACCCUAGUACGAGAGGACCGGGUUGAACAAACCACUGGUGUAGCUGUUGUUCUGCCAAGAGCAUCGCAGCGUAGCUAAGUUUGGAAAGGAUAAACGCUGAAAGCAUCUAAGCGUGAAGCCAACUCUAAGAUGAAUCUUCUCUAAGCUCUCUAGAAGACUACUAGUUUGAUAGGCUGGGUGUGUAAUGGAUGAAAGUCCUUUAGCUGACCAGUACUAAUAGAGCGUUUGGCUUAUCUUU
Molecule: ribosomal RNA, 1150 nt
Filed under: Campylobacter coli
Lineage: Bacteria; Pseudomonadati; Campylobacterota; Epsilonproteobacteria; Campylobacterales; Campylobacteraceae
Description: partial 23S ribosomal RNA
Rfam family: Bacterial large subunit ribosomal RNA
Source: RNAcentral